AGUGCUUCAUGGACUGCUACACGUCAAGGUGCAGCCACCCCGCCGUUGUUCUUGCUCAUCCAUGGUCAGGUGCCUCUAGAUCAUGGAGGAGGUAGAACAUCAAAUCGAACACAAAGCUGAGGUGGAAGAUGAAGGGGCCGCGAGGCUAAGAACUAUUUGCUGCCCUGCGAUUUGGGAUGGGAAAGAAUUGAGAUCAAGAUCUUCUCGUCUCGCAUUGUGAAGAAAAUGAUCACCCCGAUUCCUCCGGUGUUUCGUUGGUCCUAGCCCCAGUGGUAUUGGUGUUCUUAUGGUCCUGAAGACUACCGAGACGAUGAGUCUGGUGUUGUUGACACUUCGAGCGUGAAGCCUGUAUUAGGGAAGGGGAGUAGGCCUGGAAGACGUCCCAGGAUGAGGGGACUCGUUUGCC
Rhodamnia argentea is the source of this 406-nucleotide long non-coding RNA. RefSeq lists it as uncharacterized. Lineage: Eukaryota; Viridiplantae; Streptophyta; Magnoliopsida; Myrtales; Myrtaceae. The record is from RefSeq and is a predicted model, not a curated record. The transcript is spliced from 3 exons.